This 253-nucleotide ribosomal RNA is filed under the name uncultured bacterium. RNAcentral's name for it is "partial 16S ribosomal RNA". It matches the Rfam family "Bacterial small subunit ribosomal RNA", at positions 524 to 776 of the family's 1533-position model. The record is from RNAcentral.
GACGAACCGUCCAAACGUUAUUCGGAAUUACUGGGCUUAAAGGGUGCGUAGGCGGCGCGGACAGUUGGGUGUGAAAUCCCUCGGCUUAACCGAGGAACUGCGCCCAAAACUACCGUGCUCGAGGGAGAUAGAGGUGAGCGGAACUUAGGGUGGAGCGGUGAAAUGCGUUGAUAUCCUAAGGAACACCGGUGGCGAAAGCGGCUCACUGGAUCUCUUCUGACGCUGAGGCACGAAAGCUAGGGUAGCGAACGGG